Molecule: non-coding RNA, 360 nt
Organism: Triticum urartu
Lineage: Eukaryota; Viridiplantae; Streptophyta; Magnoliopsida; Poales; Poaceae
Source: RefSeq, a predicted model, not a curated record
GUCGCCCAGUCUCAGAUCGACGACACGGCGGUGGUGGCCAUCCAGGGGAAGAAGAAUGGCCGGUAUCCGUGUUUCGAUGGCUUGAUCACUCCUUCGAUCUCGUACACACAGCUUCGGGCUACCAACCAGAGCCAGUUAGAGAGUACGGGGCGUUCACAGACUCCCUUAGCCCGCCAGCAUGCUGCAUAUAAGGAGUUUGUCGAGCAUAGGAAUCUCGAGGUGCGGGAGUACUUGAAACGAGUGAAGGCAAACGAUGAUUACAACCGUCAGAUGAUGACGGCUAUGUUGGCGUCUUGGACUAACCGCACGGAUCCACCACAAAUGGGACCCCCACCACCACCUGCGGGAGAACCCCCACAC